GCUCCUAGCUGCUGCUAGACAGGGUACAGCCUUCUGGAGGUUUGGUGUUUCUGCUGCCAGUAAAAAGAGCCAUAAUUUGCUCUGGUCAUUUGUUCUGGUCUUCCUAGGGAACUGUUCUGAAAGGGUAAAAGCAGUUACUGGGUGUAGCGGAAAUGCUAAAUCACGGCCUGAACCAGUGAUGGAGCACCAGUGAGAAGGCGGGGCUAACCCAGGGGAGCUCAGGUGCAUGCAGUGUACCUGAGUGACAGGAAGGGGUGGAGCCGGGAUCCACCCCUUCCCAGACCUCAUUUAAGGGUUGGCAAUGGAGCCAAAGGUGUUUUGCUGGAGACUGUUGUGUACCUGAGGUCUUUUAAGGUGUCCUUAAUUUGAAGACCAAAACUUGCUGAGCUUCAGGCUGCUUCCUGGUGGAUUCUUUGGGAGGGCUUUCCAGCUGCUGUCAGUCAGUCCUGCUCUUGUACUGCACUAGCAGAAGUCCUGUGCAAAUCUGUGCACUAUUACCAAAAAGCAAAUUGAAAGAUGAGCACAGUGUGAGUAUCAGCAGCCUGAAUCAAACCCACUUAAACCAGUGCAAUCCAGGAUUGUGGGUACUGCUCAUGUAUGUAUAUAAAACAAAGCAGGAACAAAACGGCCUGCUAUACUUGGAAUGUAUGCAUUUUUACUGGCUGCACUAUGCAGAACUGGAGAGGAGAGCUGCAUGGAAGCAAGGACAGCUUUUCACAACUUCAGGGGAAAGGAAGCUUCUCUUGACUAGUGCUGAAUCUUGCUGCAUUAGGAAUGAAGUCAGCUCCUUAAUCUCACUGUAGCACUCUUCCUUUAUUUUUCCAAUUGAUUAUAUUUCUCUUCUGAAGAUUGUAAGUAGAAGGACACAACAAAAGCAUUUGCUUCUCCAGUCUUUUGUGGUGAAUUGUGUUUGAAUCCAGUUGGUCCACAAUCUGGGUUCUGUUAGCUUGCGUGCUGUUCCUUCUGAGGAGUUCUCUGCUGCUGUAGCUUCAUGAUUCACCAUCACUGGGCAUACAUGAAAGAGAAAAAACACUGGCAUCACGCUGCUUGGUCACUUCUCUCUUAUGUAUGGGCAAGAGCUGGUCCAGCUUCUGUUGGCCAGAGGCUCUCCUGCCACCAGGCAUGGACUCAGAAAUCAAAUACCUUUUCCUAGACUUGGAGAUAACAUUUUACGUCUUGAUUAUUUAAUGUUAAAACUGAUAGGUGAAUUUUCAUUUUGUUCCUUUGUUUUCUGCCUAGGUAGCUUGUUCCCUGCCACUUCAUAAAGAAUGUUUGAUAUGCACCAGAAUAAAGCCAAAUAUUAAGAUUUUGUCCCUUUAAACAAAAGUUGCAUUUUCUUUAUUUUUUAAUGUUUUAUUAAACUUCAUGUUGGGGGAUCUGUUAUGUCCCAGCCUGAACUGAUGAUUGAGUACCCGGUGAAGGGGAUGGCUGGCCCUGGAAGCAUAGGUGCAAGCAAUUCACCUGUGCUUCCCAUGUGUCCCUGGGUCCACCCCUCUCUGGUUUCAUUUAAGGGCUAGCAUCUGAAGGGAGGACUUCUCCUGGAUGAGGGCUGCUUCCUGAGAAGGAGAGUUCUAUAGCCAGAGACUCUCAUCACCUGUUGGGUGAGUCAAGUUUUUCCCUAUAUACGAUUAUUGAUAUUCCUAAUGAUACUUUGCCUGAUAUUAUAAAGAACUUAUUGGAAGCAGUGUUACUGCUUCUGAGGACCAACACUGUACAGCCUGGGAAGAGAGAAUUUCUUUGUCCAGAUUUAAUUCCCCCCAAACCUCACUUCAUAAGUUACCUUUUUUUUUUUUGGACAAAAAAAAACCCAAAACCCUGAAGAGUGCCCCAUGGAUGCAAUAAAGUGUGUGUGAGGGGGGCUUUGCUUACUCAGCAGUCCCGAAAGAUGGGUGUUGUGCCUAUCUCUACCAGAGGAGCAAAGGUGCACAAGCCUUUACCUGCCUCCUGUAUGCAUGGAAACCCUGGACAUGAUUUUAGCACUAGGCUUCAAAGGCAAGAUUUGUUUAUACAAAACAUAUCAAUAUACGUAUCUAUUUGUAAUGCAGUGAGUUUGCAUGUGGGGCAGAUGAGCACCACUUUGAAGGGAGUCAGGGCUACAAUCCCUUGCCCAAGUGCACAACUUCACAGCCUUGAUGCUCGUAAGUAAGCUUUUACAAUAUAAUAGCUUUGUUUUGUUUUACUUCGUGGCCUUUCACUUUCCUUGCUCAAGAGAUGCUGAAGUACUGCACAUACUUUUGGGGGCAUUAUUUAGUCAGGGAAAAGUAACCGUUUUUGCCUAAUAAUCACAGAAUUGUUGGAAGGCACCUCUAGAGAUCAUCUAGUCCAACUCCCUGCUGAAGUGAGUUACCUGGAGUAGGUUACAAAUGUUCAAUCACAGAAAUGACUGGGAAACAAGAAAUGGUACCACUUCAACUGUUUUUACUUUGAAAUUAAGCUUGUUCCAAAAUGUCACAUAAAAUGAACUUAGGAAAAGUAGUUAGUUAAGGUAAACCCUUAAUUGCUGUGUUGUUUAAAAUUUUACAUUUAAAAAGUCACCUACUCUGUGAAGUUGUUUUGGAACAACAUUCAUUCUGAAAACAUGAAAAUGUCAUUAAUGCAAUGUUUGGCCUUGGAUGCUUUCAAAAUGUUGUCUUAUAUAAAUCAUAGCACAAAACACUUGAGCCUUAAACUCCCAAGAACCUUGCAUGAAGAAGGAAAUUAAUGCCAGACAACUGUGCUAUGUCAGGCACUGAGAAGUUUCCUGUACUGAAUCUCAAUGAUUUCAAAAAAAAAAAAAAAAGCCCAAAUCUAACACCAUUUGGGAAGAAAUUUGGGAAGCUGAUCUGAGUACUGAUGUUAGCAUCUCAGGCAUCUGUCACAGCAGCCUGAUCAGUGAGGGAAGCUCUGUCUGUGCCAUCUGCUUGUCUGUCCCACACAGGUUUGCUGCUGCAGGGUUAGUUAGGGGCUUACAGGCAGCCACUGGUUUAAAAUUAAAGGAGCAUCGAACCAUUUGAGCUGGAGCCAAAGUCCUCAUGCAUAAAACACUCUAAAAUUUCAAUCUGCCCCCUAGUUGGUCUAUUUACUAUUAUAUAGUUUAGAAAUGAGGUUAUCUUGGAAUGGCUGGCAUUGGCUGUAUUUCUUCAAAAAAUAUAAUGAAUUCAACAUACCUCGGAUUGGCCACUGAUUCUUUUUCCUCUUCCCUUACAGUAGGUAAACAUUCACAAUCAGCUGAAAAAGGAUGAGAAGAAAGAUGAUAAUUACUAUUGGCUGUUAGUCUGUUUAUUUCAGAAUUGCAUCUACUUUGUGCAGUGACUCUGGUGUAUAAAUCUGCUCUUCCACACCCUUUUAUCUGUAAAACCUCCAUGUCCCAAGCAGCAUCAAUGUUGUGUUUUAAAUCCCCUUUCCCUUUGACAGUCAUUAUGGUAAUUUGUUAGAGAUAUUUCAGUUUUCUGUGUACACAUACACAAAGUCUCUCCCUUGGAGGACUGUUUCCCAUGAGCUACCAUGGGGGGGACAAUUUGUUAAUCCUCCACUGCUGAUGGCUGCGCCCAUGCUUUGUAGUUCCAUUUGGGGUUUAGGGAAUGUUACAAAAAAAAACCAAACCACAAAAUGGUUGCUCCCUUCUGUCCAGAGAAUUUAAAUUAUUUUACAGUGCUGCUUUCCCAUGUGCUAUACUGAAUGCCUUUACUAUUGUCUCUUAGAAUGUUUUCUGCUGGAGUUUACAGACUAAGAAGGUCAAAGCCCCAUCAUGUGGCUGGAGUGCUGUACUAACACAAAGACGUGCUCCAAAGGGUUCUGUGUCCUGAAAAGCAAAACAGCUCAAGGAGGUCAGGCAAAUGGACUGUUUGCAUGGAAGGCAAGGGACCAAGGAUGAGGAAAUAUCCAGGUUUCAGCAUUUCUUAGCCAGUGGGAAUCUGUUAAUGCAGAUGCUUGAAAGUGUUAGCUGUGAGGGAGCAGAAGAUGCUGUUGAUGAGAGGUACAGAAAGUACCAAUUGCUGGCAGUUUUGCUGGAGAGGCUGCAGAAGAUGGGGAGCAGUGGCAAAGAGCAGCUUGCUCUUCAUGCAGUGGGGAUGAUACAAGAAACAACACCAAGAGGGGAGGGAUGCAGUCAUAAGGUAUUUGCAGCAGUUUUAAGUAAGCAAUGGUCUGAGCUACAAGUAAAUACUUGUUUCUUCUACCACAGCAUGGUGUGGAGCACAGAUCUGUAGGAGCUGAAGACUGAAAGGAUUGGAUGGUUCAAAUAAACUAUCCGUAGUUAAAAUGUGAAUUUAAAAAUAUAAAUUCUGUUCACAGCUACGCUUGUGUUUACAAGUGCCUGCUGCAAACUCAAAACAUUUAUGAUAUUCCCUCAUAUGUUAAAAAUCUCCCACACAAACUAAAAUACUCCUCUGAACAAUCCCACCCUGACAUUUGUGCUGCUAUUUCUGUAACAGAGGCAAGAACACAACUAAAAAUUCUUUAGGGAAAUCGGUGACACAAAUACAAUGCCUUACAUUGCUUUUCUAUGCGUGGGAUUUAUGUCAGCUAAAAAGAGAGGAAUGAUGGAGUAGAGGGGUUACCAUGUACCAUUUUUGUUCAUGCUGUUCAUCCACUUAUCGAGCUCUUCCAUUUCUAUCUCCAUAACAGAGGGUGUGUCCUCUUCGAAAAUAGGGCUUGAAAGGAGGGGGCGAAAAAGGCAUUACACAAAAGAUUAAAUCAACAAACUGAUAAGGACUGUCUCAUUCCAGGCAUAUGUAGGCACUGUGGAAAGCCAUACUAGGUGAAUGACCUGGGAAGAGGUCAGCCUGAAGGGUGUAUGAAGGCAAUGGCAGCAAGCAGAUGUCAACAGCUGGGCUGUGCAUGGCAGGGCUUGCUGGGACACCAGUGCAGAGAAGGGUCUGGGGCCUAGGUGGUGUGGUGUGGGGUGCCUGGAAGCAGAGGGCUAGCACAGAUAUCCUGUACCCCUCCCUCCUGCAAAUAACAAAUUGGCAAACAAAUGUGUUUGUCUGUGGAAUACAUGGUAAGCAUCCUAUUAUCACUGCUGUUCCAGUGAUUGAGUUUCGUUGUAGCUUGAAUAGCAGUGACAGUGACUUAAAAGGGAAAGGUCGUAGCUAUCCUAAUUCUGUAUUUAUUUGUCUCCAUUUAGUCUUCUCUUUACUGAUUGUUCUUGGAGCCACGUGGUUGAAGAAUUAUUUUUAGCAAAUUAUUUUUUUCUCCAUUAAUCCAGUUUUGUAUCUUCCAGCACUAAUUAGCAAGAUGGGGCUUGAUAAGUUAUCACUUGAGUCAGAGCUGUGCAGCUCUUAACUGUUUUGUUUUUUUUUCCAGCACAGCCAAAGAGGGGGAAGACAAGCUUGCAAACAGGGGCAAAUGACACAGAGCUUAUACUAAAUGGCAGAAGAGUGAUAGGCACAAACUUUACCUUUUCACAUUUUCACUCCCCAGCUCAUCUGGAAAAGAAAAACAGUUUGUGUUCUGAGUUACCUUGUUUGUAUAUAUACUAUAUUAUAGGAUAGUCUUCAACAGGGUUAUUUUGAAUGAGUUCUGUUUACAAAGGGUGUAACCGUUCACUUUUAGAAGAAAGACAGAACAACCCACCCUGCUUGCCUGCUGUUUUCACAGCAGCCCACUUUUAAUCCUGGGCACAGGAUUAAAAUCCAUGAGCACAGCCUGGCUGAGAGUGGGUGGAUAUCAGCAUUGUGGUGAACAUGAGUACACAAACGCCUAAUUCACUAGUAAAGCAUGCUUGUAUGCUAUUUUAAACCGACUAAUAUUUAAUUAAACAUGGCCUGUGGGUGCCAACCCCAGUGCCAGCAUUACUCCCAUGCUACAGAACCCACGAUCAUGGAUCCAUCCACCCGUUCCUCAGCAGUGCUCAAAAUUCCACCCCCAAUGGGAAAUGUGUGGGAGAUCCUGAGGUAGUCUCUGGUCACAGAGACUAGAAAUGGGCAACAAGGUGCCUGUCUGGGAACUGAGAGUUUGCUAGGGGUGUGGGCUGACAUAAGGCAGGCACAGCCUGAAAUUGCCAUGGCAAAUGACACCUUCAUGAAUUCAUCAGUUGCCUUCAUGACACCUGUACCACCACUUCAGAAGACCAUUUAUGAAUAAAAUGCCACAACAUGGCUUUUUGUUGCUUUAUGCUCCAGAUCUGCUGAUUUCUCUGUUGAAGGUGGCUUCCUGAAACACCACUUUCCUUCCUGGGGCCAGAGCAGCUGCGUGGCCCUGGCUCAUGUGGUUGGCACCCUCUGGGGCCCCUUACAAAGUUCCCUUAAAAUGGUUAUGCCUGUUCUUAUUCUUCUGAAGUGCCCAACAGUCUCACCCUGCAGGCAGUAUAAGGUGAGAGUAGUGCGUGAUCCACCUUGUUUGUACUUGUUGAGCGCAAAGAUAAAGUUUCACAGCUGUGGCCCCAUUCUGUUGUGGGUAUUGUGAGGAGCUGCCAUGGAUCCAUGGGCACAUGGCAUGAGCUGAGAAGCUGCUACAGCUUACGACAUGGGGCUGCUGCAUGCUUCCCCUUUCCUGCCCAAGAGAUGUGGAACUAAAAACAGAGACAAGCAUCCUAAAUGGGGCAUCCUGACACUUGAAAUAAUUUGUUAAAUGAUGUCAAGUGUGUGGUAACGAUUACCUCCCAAUGCCCACGAAGAGAAGUUUACCUUGCUUAGACUUUUUCCGGUUAUGGACCAUUAUAAAAAUGAUGACCAGCAAGAUCAGCAGGGCCAGCACCACUGCAGGCACAGCAUACACUAGGACAGAUGGCUCUUCCGUCUCUAGGCUCCCGUUACUGCUCGUGUCGCUCAGUUCAGGGCUGGGUGUACUGUCUAUUUCCAGGCUGCCUUCAGUGGGCCCUGCAGUGACCAGCACUGGCUGGGGGCUGCUCACAGAGGUAGGGGAUGUGGGAGGUGCAGAGGGAGGUGGCACUGUAGCAGUGGGUAAUGCUGAUGUUCCAUAUCCUGAGCCAUCCUCGUUGUUCUCAGAGCCUGCCAAACACAGGGGCAGGGACAAGUUAACAUUUUGUGGGUUUCAUCAACGUUAUCAGUGAGUCAAAGCACACAGCUGUGGUAUUCAUUCAAAGUGUUAAGAAAGAUAAUCAGUGAAUGCAUGCACACACACCUGAAUUCUUGGCCUUUGGAUGCUAAACUAGAUGGCAAGUCUGCCACAAGUCUCUACCUCAGUGUGGUUCUUCAGCUGACUUGUUCAGGGUUGCUGACUUCUACGUUACCCCCCAGUUUCGGCAGGUUGCCAUCGUGGUACAGCAUUUAUGCUACAAAGCAGGAUGGAAUGGCAUGACCUCUGCAGUGACAUGAUUGUCUCUGCUGUUGUCAGGUGCGGGCAGAUAGAGUUUCCACUUGAGUUAGCCAGAGCUUCAGGUUUUUAGCUCCUCAUUGCUGGCAUUUCAAAUCUCACAGGACUGGAUCCGAAAGCACUUAGCAUUUAAAACGCUUUGGUAAACACAUUAAUCUUCAUAAUGGCCCUGAGAGAUGAGCAGUUAUCAUCUCCAUUUUACAAAUGAGAAAUCAGAAGGACAGAAUGCUGUCCUUCCCAGGGACACUGAGAAAGAGGGGAAAACUGAGGUAAGAGCGCUACCUCUUGCUUCACCCACCCUGCAACAUCCUCACCUGCCACAUCUGUCUCAAGAAGGAGCUGAGCAUCCCACGGGACUGCAUGCCAGGAACCCCAAUUUCAAAUCAAUGCAAUGCUCUGAGGGGGACAGCAGCAAUCUAUCUGCCUCUUUAUGCCAGUUAUCAUGCAGGCAUCUGAUUGUUUCAUCCUCUCCUACAAGCUAGGAAAGAAUGUUAAUGCUUAUUAAAUAACAGGUAAUACUUCAGUAAGGUAUUUGGCUACUAUGAAAGCCACCAGCCCCUUUCACUGCAGUACAACAAUGUGAAUGUUAGCUCUUUGAUGGCAAAAGACUUCAUGUCAGUAGCUUCCAUGCUGUGCUCUUCCCUAUUCAGCCAAGAGCAAAGCACAACCUCUGCCUCCCUGCAGGCAGUGACUCCUUAUGCAUGUGCUCCUGUGAUCUGCUGGCUCUCAUUAAUCCUCUCAUUACAGAGGACGGGAAGAAGAGAGCCUCUCCAUUACUCUUUUUAGCAACCUGACUUCUCUCCAGGGGUAGUUCAUAGUCCCAGCAUUUGCAGCUCCUCCAUUUAUACCACGUAUGUUUACCUCCAUCACUGUAUGUGGCCAGAGUGCUGCCGGCAGGGCAGACACACCGCUGGGUGAGUUCCUGCAACCACGCUUCUCUCUCUGCUGUGGCCAUCCCUCUGACACCUAUCAGCUGCCUGGGCUGGUAGAUGUACAAGGACAAGCUUGCUAAAAAUAGCGCAGAGGGGAAAGGGCAUGGGGGAAAUUGUUUGUUUUUCAUUUACUAGUAGAGCAAAGAUGGAUUUUUCAAAUGUCUGAAGCAUGAGGUGACUCCAAAGGAAAAGCAAACAGUCACAUCUCAUUAAAUGCAGCACCAGGCUCUCAGCUGCGGCAUAUGCUGUGUUUGAUUUCCAAGAGAGACAUUUCCAAUGUCUCCACUACUUUUUAUUUGCCUAUAUUUGAACUGCAAAGCAGUUUUCAAGCUAUCCAUCUCUGCAUGAAAUAGAAUUACCUUUUCUAGUCUCUGGAUAAAGAAAAUGGCAAAUCACAGGGAGGAGUGACCUUGUCGCCACGUAUUUUUGUUCACUUUACAUCAUUCCAGGGACAAAACGCGGUCUCUUUUUUGGACAAGCUUUCCUCUCACUAAGGCAUUUUCUUCGAGCAAUUUGGCUGUCUUUCAGCAUCAGGGCAGCCGAUUGCACAAGGUUCCUGCAAGCACCGUGCUCUCAUUUCCCUUGUUCCCCCGUAGCUGUGGCACACCCCAUGCUACCCUGCUGCCUGCCGCUCUGGUCCCCAGCACAGGGAUGCCAUGAUGUCUGUGCUUCCGAGCCUGCCUUUCAGGGCAUGCAAAGGGAGCUGAAUGUCCCAAGCAGCUUUUGUAGCAGGACCUGAGCAGCUCCGCAAACAAAUAACAUUUCUGCUGUGGCUGCAUUUCUUCCCCCGAGGUCUGUGUUGAGGCACUUGGAGGUGGCGAUAGGAGCUGUCGACGAAGCAGGCAGGCAGACAGGUUUCUGGUUGUGGCUGGAUGAGAGGCAAAAUAAAACGCUUGCAGUCAGCACGCUGAGUUCUGCUGGCAAGGCCCUGUUCCGCCCGCUGGGCUCUCAUCGAGCUUGUGGGCUGCAAUCUUUGAAGGGAGUUUUCCAACUUACACUACAGCUCCUACUUGCAGAAGAAAGAGGGCUGGGAAGGACCAAGUCUGAGUCAAUGGAACAGUCAGGCUUAGUAAUUUGGGAAUUUUUGGUUUCUCCAUACUUUUGUGUGAGUUAUACAAACACGGCGGCAGGAGGACUCAGGAGAGGGAGGCAAAUCCAGCAGAGGCCAGGAGGCCCUGCAGAGUAAGAAACCCCUCCACUCGUGGCACCACUCCCAACCUCUGCCCCUCCUGGCAAUGCACUCCCACGGCUCCACGCCAUGCGCGUGGCGGCUUAGCUGUGCCUGACUCACCCCUCGCCCUGUGCUGAUCCGAGCACAGCCACUCCCUGCCAUGCCCAGGGCCUGCCCGGCCUGCAUGCUACAGCAGGUCGCUACCGGCGCUGCCGCGGGCCCUGCAAGGCACCAUGAACAUCUCAGGGCAGCUGCUCUGUCAGCUGCAGGCAAGAGCCCAUUAGAGAGGGGUGCUUGGAACUUCCUCUCUGGGUGUUACCUGGAGCAGGGAGCCAGUGUUUGAGCUCCUUUCUAGGCAAUAGAAAGCUGUGCUCCCACUCCACCUAAAUGCUCCUUUAAUGGCUAGUGUCCUGUGUUUGGUCCUGUGCUUGGAGUCAUACUGUGAGUUUGCAGCCUCAUUCAUCACCCUGAAAGCUACAGCUUUUCCAGACCAAACUGUGCUUUUAGCUACCAUUUGAUCUCAUGCCCUUCCAGCUCCACACCAGUGACAUGCAACCCUGCCGCAUCCAGACACAUGGGUGCACACCUCUCAGUGCUCCUUGCUCUCAGCAGGGCUCCGAAAUUAAUGAUUCAACAGCCCUAGGGUCUCAGCAGCAACCACAGAGUCUCUCAAGGCACUACAGCCUGGGGUCACUGACUGAAAUUUAAUGUACAUGACCCCCUGCAUGGAGCAAGCACUGGGACCUGGGCAUGCUCACUGUGCUGCCACCCCUCAGGAACUGCAGGGUGGCCGGGACAAAGCUGUCUGUGCAUCACAAUCCAAAUGGCAAGGCAAGGGUUUUACAGGGCUCCAGUGCGGUGUGGGAGCAGGGUUUAUAAGGCUGCCAUCUGUCUGUGCUGCAAGGUCUAAUCAGGCUCCCAUCGCCUCCUGUGGAAGUGCUUUCCAGAUAGCACAGGUGAGACUGCAGGGAUCCCAGAGCUUGAGAUAUGUCUGGGGCUGGAGGAGAUGGGAGGAAAGCUCCCAGAAAGCUGCUGCUCUGUCAGUCUGUGAGCAGAAAAUGGUGAGCACGCUGGAUGCCCUGGAGGGGCUGGCCACAGCAGAACUCUCCUAGCCCAGCUGUGGCUUGUAUAAGUCCCUAUAGAAACCCGGAUCCCUCUGGGUCUGUUCCUCUUGCCUCUCUGCUUCGCUGAGACCUCUGCUCUGCUCUGUUCCUGAUGGGAUUUUUCUUCCCAUGGAUGCUUUGAUCGUGAGGCACGUGCAAAGCCUGCAGCACUUUUUCCUGACAUGCCUGAAGCACGGCAGGGCUGCCUUUAACUCAGGCAAGACCAAACCAUUUUGUAACAACUCUUACCUCAUUCUUACAGCUAAGCACGAUCGCUAACCGCGAUAAGGUCUGCAGCAUGCCUGGAACCUGCAGCCCAAUUAUACAGCCUGGAAUAGUACUGACUUUCAGGAAAAAAAAAAAUGAACAACCAAAAUACAACCCACCUAUUUCUCCCUGCCCGCAGCUUUAACACACUCCUGAUCCACAACAAGGCAGCAAGCAGUGGCUGGAGUGAUGCCGGGAGGUACUUUGGCCCCACAAGGGGAGGGCUGUCCCCGCAGAGAGCCCCGCACCUCAAGCUGUGAGCUGCACGCCCAUAACAGGAGCCCUCAGCGCUCAGCCGUGGGCAGCCCUGCCCUCGGAGCUCCUGAGCGCUCAGCAAGGCAGGCCGCCAAAUAUUGAUCUCAGCACUGGCUGUUCUUUUGGGUUUCAGAUCAUCAGUGCUGUAGAAAUCAGCAGCUGGCUUUUGAGUGGAAGGAGAGCUUCAGCUUGGUCUUCAGCUUUACUAUUGCAUGCAGUGGGCAGUAUGGGUUUGGGAUUAGGAAGGUACAAGAAACAGUUAACAUUAGACCUAAAAGGAGCCAUGAGCAAGACUGGAGACGGCAGUUCCCACACCCCUAGCCUGACAUUUCGGAUUAAAUCUCCAUCACACAGCCUCACAUCUAAGGAGAUGCAAUAAGGAGAAGACACCGCCAGGAAGGAGCCAGACAAGCGGAGGUGGCACGCGGCUGCCGGUAGCAGCAAGCAAGCUCCUGCAGGUCCCCUCUGCCCAGGGUCAGCCACCAGCUGUCACACCCCAAGACCCCACCAGCUCCCGGGGUCCCCAUGCCAUGGGCCACUCACCGCCUUGGGCUGUGCCCUGCCGGACCAGGAGCAGGGCGCUGAGCAGAGGCACCCAGCCGGGCGCCCACAUGCUGCCUCAGCCUGCGCGGCUCUCUGCGGGCUUCGGCAGAGCAUUUACAUUUCCUGUUUCCUGCCCCCGGUGCCUCCGAGUUGUGCUUCUUUGGGAGAUGGGCUCCGUUUGAUUGUUUUUAGGAAGUGAUGUAAUGCCGUCCGGGCCUGUCAAGCAGGCAGGGAUUGCAAAAGCGAGAGGAGGCUGCUCCUCCAGCUGAGGCACCUGUGUGUGGGCUUCCCGCCCUCUCUGUUCCCGCCUGCUGGGACGGUCCUGACACCAUCCGCUGUCCUCAGCACAGCGAGACAUCCACACCCUGCAUGGUCUGGGCUCCAACACCACGUGUCUGCGUUAGGCUGGGCGGUUUCAGGUUGUCUUUUGGAGCGACUGAGCCAGUGCACCACAGAAACACCAUGCUGUUUCCAAGCUCCACUUGUCCCAUUGCAAGCAGUGCUCAUUUGCCAUCCCAAACGGCAGCUCCCAGAGCUGAGCUGGCUCCAGGAAAUGGGUGAAAAAAAGCUGGCCCACCUAGCAUCCAGUAUUUUUGAGUAAUUUUGGCAAAGAGGAGCAUAAAAGCGUCUUGUCCAGAGCAGGUGGCUCAGCUGGAAAGCGCUCAGUGAGGGCAGUAGGUGACAAGGAGACAGAGGGACCUCAACCACACCUCCCCCCAUGCAGAGGUGUUUGGAUCAUAGGCUUGUUUGCUCCACUGCAAAAGCAGCUAUGAGAUCUAAAAUUCACCUGUCUGCAUCCAGCAGGGUCCACAGCCCAGCUUCUACUCUGGAGCAUCCCAAACGUGAGCCAGUUUAGAUGCCUGCCAAAACACUUUUCAGUACUAAACUGAGGAAGAAGAGAUGCAUGCUCCUGUGAAGCAUCUUCAUGGCAUCUCCCCCAGACAUCAGCCUUUGUCAAAAUCUAGUUUCUGGUGAAUUACUGGAAGUUGGCAAUGGUGAAUCUUUCUAUUCAGGCUGGUAAAAGAGGCUGAAGUGACUAAUUGCUGCUCCGGUUCUGCAGCUAAUAACUUUCCUUAACACAUUGAUGCUUUUAUAGGUCAUCAGUCACGGUUUCUUAGCUCAAGUAGCAAAGAAAUAGGUCAGUGAUUCAUUUAAUGGCCAGCUUGUUAAUAGAUUUAAAACGCUUCAAUGACUGAGCUAACUAACAAUUGGAAGUGGUCGCGUAUUAUUGGCAGCGUACCUUUAUGCACUGCUUAAGACAGAGAGGGAAAAAAGCAAAGCUACAGCACUGCAGCUGCAAGAAGAUAAAGAGGAGCUCUGACAACACCAAGUGGCUGAUAAUCAUUUCUGAGAGACGUCCUUUACUGCCUGAUAAUCCUUCCCUGACAGAUGCUUCUGAGGUGAGGCUUGUGCAUGCAUUUAAGAUUUUCUUGCUAAAAGGUUGCACAAGUUCCAAGUGCCAGUAAUAGUGAGUAACUGAUAUGGCUGCUUUCAAUUAUUGCUCAUCCACAUUGCAGCAGUGCCUGGUAUUCCUACUCCUGGGCUAGAUCUUUUCCACAACAAAAGUAUCAGCAGACAAAAAUCUCUUCCCAAAGAGCCUGCUGAUUUAAUGUACAAAGGAUGCAUUAUUCCCCUUUUAUUUCUUCCCUCUCUUUCCCCAGUUUGCCACUCACAGUCCUCCUAAUGCCACGUGAGCUGCAAACAUUUUUCUCUCUGCUUACCCUGUGCUGCAUAUCUGUCUGUGUACAUUCUGUAGGUGUAGCCCAGCUCACUCAUCCCUUACUAAAACAUGAGAUGGACUGGAAGGGAAAAGAGGAAAGGACUUAUUUACUGCUCUUUUUUUCCCCCUCAUAUUUCUACUACACAAGACAAUAUCCUUUCCUCUUUUCCCUUGAAGUCUUUCCAGAUAGGUUAUAGCAUUUCCCACUUGGAUCCCCACCAAUCAUUUUUGACACACGUUCAGUUGAAAACUCAUGGCUGCCCCUCGAGAGCAAGAUAACCACCCACUGGUGUGUACCUAAUUAAUGAUUUAUAAGGCAAAUUAAAGUUCAGAAAACGUGACUUCAUGCCACAUAACAUUUUAAUUAAGACUUCAGAGCAAUACAAAGGCAACUUGGUGUGCAUUUAACUAUUUCAAUGCACAAAAUGCAGCUGCUCCUGCAGAGCCAGUCCCAAGCAGGAGUGCUCCUAGCAGCCAUUUACACAAUUUCAGCUUUUCUUGUUUUGUUUUUUGAGCCCUUUUUGUACCCUGUGAGCAUGUUUUCUUGAUUGCAUUAGUGAAUACAAAAGGAAGGAGUCCAAAUUCAACCUGCUUUGAAAUUGGAGGUCUCGCUCGCUACCUGCAGCUGCAUGAGAGCAGCGACCACCUCAUUGCAAAACAAAUGUGUGCAUUUGGAAGCUGGGGCGGCUGCAGCCACAGAGGGUCUUUGUGAGAGGGUCAGAUUGUGCCUGGUAAUUUUAUAGCCCUUUGUGCACUGAGUGGGAUCCACGAUUCACCUUAGCAAAAAGAAAUGAAAGACAAACGUAAGCUUCCUGUGUGCUUUCAGUGGAUGUCAACCAGCUGGAAACAUCUGUGCAUGUUUUCGGUACUGUUGGUAGUCUGGCUGUUUGCUAAUCCCUUUUUAAUCAGAGAAAUGUUUGCAUCACUGAGAUUCCAGGGACACCAGUGCCACAACGUAAGAAGAACAGCAGUGUUUUGCAACGCUGUGGCCACCUGACUCACGCUCUUCUUGUUCCUUUUUCCUACGAGAGCCCCAACAACACCACAGCAGCUGAACCUUUGAGAGCAGUGGAACACGUUGCAGGGUGCUUCAGACUGACAGCACGUAUCUUCUCAGCUGUGAAAGAAGCGUAAGAAAAGAAGAAAAUCACAUCUGUGCAGUGGUAUUCUACCAUAAAAAAUGCAACAGCACACCCAAACUGUAACACGAGCUGUAAGAAUUUUUCCAGCCACACCUUAAAUCUGAAGAUGAACUUUGAUGUCCUAAAAUAAUGCUGCUUAAAUAUUGCUUGAGACUUUUUUAGGCUGGGGCAGCUGUCAUUUGAUCCUCCCAUCUAAGUCCCUCUCUGUAUCUUUGAAGCAAAAUAUUCUUUACAUUUUCCUCUGCGUAUUUUCACUGUAAUUACUGAACUUCACUUCUCAAAUAGCUAAUAUAGGGUCCAGACUAUAAAGGAACAUUAAAGAAUGGCUUUUUUAAA
Molecule: long non-coding RNA, 14723 nt
Organism: Gallus gallus (chicken)
Lineage: Eukaryota; Metazoa; Chordata; Aves; Galliformes; Phasianidae
Exons: 3
Source: RefSeq, a predicted model, not a curated record